RNAcentral lists this unclassified non-coding RNA (371 nucleotides) under plant metagenome. Its description in RNAcentral is "partial contains small subunit ribosomal RNA, internal transcribed spacer 1, and 5.8S ribosomal RNA". The record is from RNAcentral.
UUUCCGUAGGUGAACCUGCGGAAGGAUCAUUAACACUUACCAAUAUUUUUAAAUAUAAACUACAACCUUGUAUUGUAAUGUAUUAAAAAAAAAAGAAUUAAUUUUUUUUUUUUUUUUUUUUUUUAUUAUAACCUUUUUUUUUAAAAAAAAGGGGAAAUGAAAAAAAAAAAAAAAUUAAAAAAUUUUUUUUUUUAUUAAAUUUUUAAUUAACUACAUUUAAUUUUUAAAUUGGUUUAUUUUUAUUAUUAUUAUUAUUUUUUUUUAAUUUUAUUAUUUACUUAAUAAAAUGAUAAAAAAAAAAAAAAUAUUUAAUAUUAGAACAAAAAAUUUAAUAUAAAAAACAACUUUUAACAACGGAUAUCUUGGUUCUC